GAGGUUGAGCGCUCUACAGGGGUUGUCAUGGCAGCGCUGAGUAUCUGUGGCUUCAGGAUUCUUCGGUAUGUUAGCGAGCUGAUGAGAAACAGCUGUGGAGCAGAACAGAAGCUAAACACACUCACACACUAAUACGAUUGAUAUGCCACUUAACAGAAUCAGAGACCCUUCAGUUUAUGCAUGUAAAAGCAGGAGAUUGUUCCAACUUUAAGAGGCGAGGAGAAAAUUCUAGAUCUGGACAUGAGGGGAGACAGGUCUGCUACAUGAUGGGAUACAGCUGAUCCCCACGGGAGGAUGAUUGAUGAUUGGUGGUAGUAUUCCACACAACACAGGACUGAGGGACUUCACGCACAUCUAACAACAGUUCCAACACAUAAGACAGGAGAGGAGCAGAGUCACAUGUAGGUUCCCAACAAGGUCCUUGAGGAGAGCAUACUGUGGGCUGUUUGUUGGUGUCUGCUGGCUUUCUCCUCCAGACAGGAAGUGCUGAUCAGCCCCUGAGACGAGCGUCCCACUGUCUCGGUUCCACACGCAUUCCACAUUAGCCAUCCCCCCCACACACACACUACACCCUCCUAAGGUUAUAUAUGAGGAACAAUACGGCCUGGUUCUUGGUAACUCUGUCAGAUAGUCCCAGGGAACAAAGUCCUCUUUUUGAGCACAUCAUCAGGUUAGGAGCGGCACAUGAUGAUUUGCAUGAAGAGCGUGACUUUCA
Molecule: long non-coding RNA, 715 nt
Organism: Megalobrama amblycephala (Wuchang bream)
Lineage: Eukaryota; Metazoa; Chordata; Actinopteri; Cypriniformes; Xenocyprididae
Exons: 4
Source: RefSeq, a predicted model, not a curated record